UUCUUUUCAGCAGAUACUGUUAAAGAUAUACACAGAAUAGCAAACCCCACUUCCUGCUAAGGUGAAUUUUACUUUUAAUGUAGUCCUUCAUCUCAGAUUUGCACAAGGGCUGGUAAACUUAGAUAUUUUCACCCCAAAAUGCUCUUGAGUAAGAGCCAAGCCCAGCUGCGUAGUGAGUUAGAAGAACUUCCUCUUUGUGGAAUGUACUGAUGGCAUCAAGGGAGCACAACUCCUAGGAGGACACAUUUACAAAGCUCCCUGCCUUGUGAUUACCAUAUUAACCCAUCUUUGCUCUGCCUUAUACCAAUAUGAUCCACAGGCCACUGUAAGGAGCAGUUAUUUAGCCUCGACAGGGCAGGGGAUUUUAGUCUGAAUCAUUGCUGAAUCUCCAGUCCCUGCAAAACAACCUGCACAUUGCAUGAGGAAAGGCCAUGUGAAGAUAAAGAAAAGGCUGCCAUCUCCAGGUCAGGAAGAGAGGUCUCACCAGAAACCAACUUGGACUUCUAGCAUCUAGAACUAUGUUUAUUGUAAGGAUUAAAUCAGCUAAACCAAGAAAAGCCUCAGGGAUGGUGCCUGGCAAACUGCACGCUGUUAAUACAUGUUAGUGGACCCUUCUCCACACCUUCCUGCUACACUAAAGCAGAGAGAAUUACCUCCUGAAU
Molecule: long non-coding RNA, 662 nt
Filed under: Homo sapiens (human)
Lineage: Eukaryota; Metazoa; Chordata; Mammalia; Primates; Hominidae
Description: HSALNT0359156
Source: RNAcentral